Molecule: long non-coding RNA, 467 nt
Organism: Asparagus officinalis (garden asparagus)
Lineage: Eukaryota; Viridiplantae; Streptophyta; Magnoliopsida; Asparagales; Asparagaceae
Exons: 5
Source: RefSeq, a predicted model, not a curated record
AUCAAAGCUUUCCCUCCGUCAUCAUCAACGCUUCACCAUAUCCUCCGUUCUUCAAAGUUUUUGGGAAUUGGUUAGAAUCUUUGCUUCAUUUUGGUUUAAUUUUAAAGAAUAAUUUCAUUGAAUUUGUUUCUAAUUCGCCAUCAUCUAAUUUUUGUUCUAAUUCAACAAUAGGUCAAUUUUUUCCGAUUUAGGGCUUGCUUCAAGUGUUCUAACUGAUCCUGUGUCAAUUUCAUCAGGUCAAUUUUUUCCGAUUUAGGGCUUGCUUCAAGUGUUCUAACUGAUCCUGUGUCAAUUUCAUCAGGGCUUGCUUCAAGAGUUCUAAUUGAUCCUGUGUAAAUUUCAUCAGGCACUCAGUCAAAGUGAUGGAAGAUGGCGAUAUGAUUCAAGUGGUGCUGAAUCAAGUACUUAUGCUGCUGCUGCAAUGGUGCUUGGCCACACUGAUUGUCCUUCAUGUUUGAUGUGUUGUA